UACGAAGGGGGCUAGCGUUGCUCGGAAUUACUGGGCGUAAAGGGCGCGUAGGCGGACAGUUUAGUCAGAGGUUAAAGCCCAGGGCUCAACCUUGGAAUCGCCUUUGAUACUGGCUGUCUUGAGUACGGGAGAGGUGUGUGGAACUCCGAGUGUAGAGGUGAAAUUCGUAGAUAUUCGGAAGAACACCAGUGGCGAAGGCGACACACUGGCCCGUUACUGACGCUGAGGCGCGAAAGCGUGGGGAGCAAACAGGAUUAGAACCG
Molecule: ribosomal RNA, 263 nt
Filed under: uncultured bacterium
Lineage: Bacteria
Description: partial 16S ribosomal RNA
Rfam family: Bacterial small subunit ribosomal RNA
Source: RNAcentral